AAUCAACGCUGGCGGCGUGCCUCAGACAUGCAAGUCGAACGCGAAAGUUUCCUUCGGGGAACAAGUAGAGUGGCGCACGGGUGAGUAACACGUAGGUAAUCUACCUUUGGAUGGGGAAUAACAACCGGAAACGGUUGCUAAUACCGCAUAAUGCAGCGGCACCUAAUGGUGACAGUUGUUAAAGCGGGGGAUCGAAAGACCUCGCGUCUGAAGAGGAGCCUGCGGCGGAUUAGCUAGNGGUUAAGGUAAUGGCUUACCAAGGCUACGAUCCGUAACCGGCCUGAGAGGGCGGGUCGGUCACACUGACACUGACAUACGGGUCAGACUCCUACGGGAGGCAGCAGUCGGGAAUUUUGGGCAAUGGGCGAAAGCCUGACCCAGCAACGCCGCGUGAAGGAUGAAA
RNAcentral lists this ribosomal RNA (403 nucleotides) under uncultured bacterium. RNAcentral's name for it is "bacterial SSU rRNA". It matches the Rfam family "Bacterial small subunit ribosomal RNA", at positions 32 to 413 of the family's 1533-position model. The record is from RNAcentral.